Molecule: ribosomal RNA, 253 nt
Filed under: uncultured bacterium
Lineage: Bacteria
Description: partial 16S ribosomal RNA
Rfam family: Bacterial small subunit ribosomal RNA
Source: RNAcentral
UACGUAGGGGGCUAGCGUUGUCCGGAAUCAUUGGGCGUAAAGCGCGUGUAGGCGGCCCGGUAAGUCCGCUGUGAAAGUCGGGGGCUCAACCCUCGGAUGCCGGUGGAUACUGUCGGGCUAGAGUACGGAAGAGGCGAGUGGAAUUCCUGGUGUAGCGGUGAAAUGCGCAGAUAUCAGGAGGAACACCAAUUGCGAAGGCAGCUCGCUGGGACGUUACUGACGCCGAGACGCGAAAGCGUGGGGAGCAAACAGG